GCAGUUCUGAGCAAUAAAGGAUCUUGUUCAUAUAUGUGAUAUUUCAUGUAUUAACAAUUUUGCAGUGUCGUCUGCGCGGCUGGGGGCAAUGUGUUUAUGAGAUUAAUUUGUAUUGUUCCUCAUGUUGUUAAAAUAUUCAGCACAUUACUUCAUUAUGUCAUUUUUCUGUGCCAGACUUAUGAUUUUCAGUCAAAGUGUAACCUGUAAUACGAACGUGUACCCCCACAAAAAAAAAUACCAAAAGAAUCUACGUAUCCUCUAUAACCAUGAAAAAAUUAUCGUUUUAUUCAACAAAAUUCCAUUAAUGAGCAAUAAAAUUCUGCAAAUAUAUAUUCUUUAUCACGAUUUGAACUGAAAAAACUAGCGGAAGUCAACUGAUUCGAAUUUAAAUUACCGUAGAUAAAAUUUUUCUCGCACGAUCAGACUUAAUUUCAUACCGCCGGGCUCGACAUUUUGUGUUCUUUCGGAAUCUGAUGUGUGCGCAUACAUUUAAAAAUAGACUAAUUUUCGAUAGCCCUCGCGCAUGUACCAUAUCCUAAUAGAAAGAAACCGAAGCGAGAUAAAUAGAAUACCCGUGACGUCACAGUUUCAGACGCAGUAUUUCAAAUAUGGCUGACUGAGCAGGAGACGGGAAGUUUGAUAGUGUCACAUUUCCUCUGCUAUUUCACAACGCGAUUUAUAAUAACAUCUGCAUCAGCCUGAAGACCGAGGGAGGUUAGAUAUGACCAGUGCAGGUUGAAGUGGAUUUCGAGUCAACAAGUAUAACAGCAAGAGAGGUACUCCAUUUACAGUGAUGAUGACAUAUCCCCUGGACCCCCACAACUCCACAAAUUUAAAAAUGUUUGAUCAAGUUCCGAAGAUUAAAGAACUACUGCAAAAUUUGGGACUGGAUGAAAAACAUUAAUUCACUUAUAUGAGCUCAGAGCAGUGGAUGUUAUACAACAUACUUUAAACUAAAUUGUGAAUUUAAGGGAAAACAAGUACAUGUCAUGUACUCGUAUAUUACAAACUGUACAUGCCUUUUGAAAGACAAUAAUAUUGCAUAGAUGUAAAGGAAAUUUCAAUGUUGAUUAUUCUUUCUUAGAUAUAUUAGUAAAAAAUGUGCACAUGAUAGAAUAUCAAUUUUAUAACUUCAAUCAAUGUGUUUGAAUUUUCCUUGUAAUUCAAAAUUUAGUUGAAACAUACAUCAUAGAUACAUUAAUGUAUAUCAAAUUUUUAGAAAAGUUUCAUAAUGGAACUAAUUCACCCCCCCCCCCUUAUACAUACAGUGAACAUAGACCUUCACCUGGGGAAAACUUCAGUUAGUUAAUGCAAUAUACAUGUACAUGCAUUCUCAGUUAUCCAAUAGUGAGUUUUUGGUUCCAUGUGAAACUACAAUGAGAAAUUUUAAACUUAUGAAAGACACACCUAUCUGUGAGGGUAAGAUGACUCAGAUGAACUUAAAUGUAGUGAUCCAUGGACAGUCCAUGGGUCUCUUUCCAUUGAUAUUAAUUAUUUAUUGAAAUAUGAAAUGGUUAUUUAAACAUAUUUGGUGUAUUAUACUGUAUAGUGAUAUAAAUUUCUAUCAAAAAAUAUGUAUAGGUAAUAGAUUUGGUCCAGUUAUUACAAGAAAUUGUAUGAAAAAUAACUAAAUAUUUAGGCAAUCAUUGUGAGUGCGAAAAGGUCAACUGCAAUAGCACACACUAUAUAUCAUUCUUAAAUGGCUCAUAGAAACUUCUAGUAUUGUGAGUUUGAAUGCUCAAUAUGGUAAUUUGGGAAUGCUUAAUCAUUCAAGGUCAAUAGUUUAUCUCUGCUGACUGUAUCUCUUAAAAUUCAUUUCUAGAAGGGAGGGGGUAGGGUUACAAAAUCUGACAUAGUUUCAGAUUAAACCUCAUUUGGCAUAUUUUUUUCUAUUCAAUAUUUUAGAUACUACUUGACUUAUUGUAAAAAUGAAAUAAAAUCAGAAAUUUUAUGAGCAGAAUUUUGUUGUUGUCAGAAAACGUAUGCCUGAUAGUAUUUGAGAAAUGUCAUAUUUUGGGUAAAUUUGGCCAAUUGCCAAGUCGAAUCAUGCCAAUGUUUUCCUUAGAUGCAUUUUGAAUUUCUAAUCCAUGUUGAUUUUUUAUCUGUUUGUGUUUAAUUUACAUAACUAUAUAUGAAAAACAAUAUUUCUGGUGUCAAUAAAAAAUUUUUAUUGGC
Ostrea edulis (European flat oyster) is the source of this 2175-nucleotide long non-coding RNA. RefSeq lists it as uncharacterized. Lineage: Eukaryota; Metazoa; Mollusca; Bivalvia; Ostreida; Ostreidae. The record is from RefSeq and is a predicted model, not a curated record. The transcript has 3 exons.